RNAcentral lists this ribosomal RNA (468 nucleotides) under uncultured bacterium. RNAcentral's name for it is "partial 16S ribosomal RNA". It matches the Rfam family "Bacterial small subunit ribosomal RNA", at positions 28 to 507 of the family's 1533-position model. The record is from RNAcentral.
GACGAACGCUGGCGGCGUGCUUAACACAUGCAAGUCGAACGGAAAGGCCCUGCUUUUGUGGGGUGCUCGAGUGGCGAACGGGUGAGUAACACGUGAGUAACCUGCCCUUGACUUUGGGAUAACUUCAGGAAACUGGGGCUAAUACCGGAUAGGAGCUCCUGCUGCAUGGUGGGGGCUGGAAAGUUUCGGCGGUUGGGGAUGGACUCGCGGCUUAUCGGCUUGUUGGUGGGGUAGUGGCUUACCAAGGCUUUGACGGGUAGCCGGCCUGAGAGGGUGACCGGCCACAUUGGGACUGAGAUACGGCCCAGACUCCUACGGGAGGCAGCAGUGGGGAAUAUUGCACAAUGGGCGGAAGCCUGAUGCAGCAACGCCGCGUGCGGGAUGACGGCCUUCGGGUUGUAAACCGCUUUCGCCUGUGACGAAGCGUGAGUGACGGUAAUGGGUAAAGAAGCACCGGCUAACUACGUG